RNAcentral lists this ribosomal RNA (253 nucleotides) under uncultured bacterium. RNAcentral describes it as "partial 16S ribosomal RNA". It matches the Rfam family "Bacterial small subunit ribosomal RNA", at positions 524 to 776 of the family's 1533-position model. The record is from RNAcentral.
UACAGAGGCCUCGAGCGUUAGGCGGAAUCACUGGGCUUAAAGCGUGUGUAGGCGGACUUCUAAGUACCUUGUGAAAUCCCACGGCUUACCCGUGGAACGGCUGGGUAUACUGGGAGUCUUGAGCCACCUAGGGGCGAGUGGAACAAAUGGUGGAGCGGUGAAAUGCGUAGAUAUCAUUUGGAACGCCAAUGGCGAAAACAACUCGCUGGGGGUGUGCUGACGCUGAGACACGAAAGCCAGGGGAGCGAACGGG